RNAcentral lists this ribosomal RNA (398 nucleotides) under uncultured bacterium. RNAcentral's name for it is "bacterial SSU rRNA". It matches the Rfam family "Bacterial small subunit ribosomal RNA", at positions 358 to 773 of the family's 1533-position model. The record is from RNAcentral.
GGAAUAUUGCACAAUGGGGGAAACCCUGAUGCAGCGACGCCGCGUGAGUGAAGAAGUAUUUCGGUAUGUAAAGCCCUAUCAGCAGGAAAGAAAAUGACGGUACCUGACUAAGAAGCCCCGGCUAACUACGUGCCAGCAGCCGCGGUAAUACGUAGGGGGCAAGCGUUAUCCGGAUUUACUGGGUGUAAAGGGAGCGUAGACGGUGAAGCAAGUCUGAAGUGAAAGGCGGGGGCUCAACCCCCGGACUGCUUUGGAAACUGUUUGACUGGAGUGUCGGAGAGGUAAGCGGAAUUCCUAGUGUAGCGGCGAAAUGCGUAGAUAUUAGGAGGAACACCAGUGGCGAAGGCGGCUUACUGGACGAUAACUGACGCUGAGGCUCGAAAGCGUGGGGAGCAAAC